This is a long non-coding RNA of Etheostoma cragini (Arkansas darter), 1738 nucleotides long. RefSeq lists it as uncharacterized. The record is from RefSeq and is a predicted model, not a curated record. The transcript is spliced from 2 exons. NCBI's taxonomy places the organism in Eukaryota, Metazoa, Chordata, Actinopteri, Perciformes, Percidae.
UAGACGCUAAUCCAAAACCUGAGUGGUUGACAUAUCAAGUGAGAGAUGCUUUAUAUUAUUGUUGAGCUGCUUAAAAUAAAUCAAAAGUAAUUGUAACUGCAGGUAAAGCUACCUGGCAUCCAUGCUCUGAUUUCAUCAUUGCCUCAAAUAGGCAGAAGUCUGGUAGCUCAGUAGCAUUGUAGGGAAUUUCCUGUACCCACUGCAGAAGUAACAACUCAGGACUCUAACCUGAAGUCUAAGAAACAUUGAACCAUAUGUAGCUUACAGGCAUUCAAGGAGGUGUAGAUGUCUACACUGAGCUUUUGAUAAUCGCCACAGAAAAGCUUUCUAACACUUUCUUCUCUGGUGAAGCAUGAAGGAGAGACUUAGGUCGGGCUGACCAUAGCAGUAGUUUGGAUUACACAUGGCGGACCAAAAGGGGGCACAAUAUACUGGUCUCACUGUGGAUAGGAUGACUCCGACUAUGUGAAGAAAUAAAGAAACCACACUCCGUUAACUUCUACAUAGCAUACAAAAUGAAGGACACAAAUGUGCAGUCGUGCACCAGAAUAGACAACUUGAAGAUGUUUAUGACAAAACGAAUGAGAAGAGUAGCAAUGAAACAAAUACCUUUUUCUCUUAGGUAUGUAGAUUGAUCUCGAUGCUAGUGAAUGUAUGUUAUGAUACAGUAGCUCCAAAAGUGCUUUAGUGCGGUAUAAGCAAAACCUGUUUUUGUUUUUUCCCGUUUGCCAUGUCUUUUCAAACAUUUGUUAUGGCGUACAUUUGAUUUAAAAAAAGGAAUUGUAAAUAUUUGUUUGGCUCAGAAUUCAAUGUGUAAAUUUGAUACAUAUCUGAAUUUUGAGGAAAAUGGCUAAUUUCUUGCCUGUUUGGACUGUUAACUCUAGAUAAACCAUCUCCAGUUUGCCUUGUUUUUUCGGUCUGCGGAUGUUUUGCAGAACAGUUAUUCAGAGAUCAUUUCAUUAUGUCACAAGUGUGAUGUACAAAGAAUACUUCCAAGCUAUGUCAUGGCUAUUUUUAUUAUUUUUUUGACAAUAUUGACUGAAUUGAAAUAAACGUAUUGGCACUUGACUUUGGCUUUUAUAUAAAGUUGUAAGUGUUUCGACAGGUUGGGUUGCUUUUGGCCCUCAUUUUUAGUUACCGCUUUCAUGUUUUUACAAUACUACUCAUAACCCAUGCCAAUAUUGUUUACCAAUCGGAACAAGUUCUCCCUUCAAUUUUAAAACAAAAAUGGUGAAUGACCAAUAUGUUAAUGAGUAUACUAGUGAAAAACUUUGACCCAAGUCAUCAUGUAUGUUGUCAUCAGUCCAGUAGCGCAUAACCAGUCUUUUAUCUGUAGUAUUUAACUUCUGUACAGUAUUCCUCCUUGAUUCGGAAAUAGUUGGACAAAAAUAAUUCUCAAUAUGGAAUCCAACCUACUUGCUUUUCAAUCUUGUGGCUCUCCGUAGGUUUAAUGGAGAUGAUAAAUGAAUAACAUCACCUGGUUGGAGUAUUUGUAUUUGUCAAAAUUCUUUAAGGUUAAUUUAAUGCCCUAUUGUAAUGGUCCGAACCCUGAAACAGAAUCAACAUUUAUAAUGUCGUUUGGAUUUGUUCACACUGUCUAGAAAAAGAAGCAGAUCUGUGUCAGUUCUUUCAGGGAACAGCCCUCUUAAGUCCAGUUUACCUGCAGAGUAAACACAUGGAGGACACCACAGAGGGGUCCAGGGACCUUGAAGGACCUUAAGCUCUCCCGCAAACAGGA